This 3792-nucleotide long non-coding RNA is filed under the name Malus domestica (apple). RNAcentral's name for it is "long non-coding RNA (MDOM_LNC001331)". Lineage: Eukaryota; Viridiplantae; Streptophyta; Magnoliopsida; Rosales; Rosaceae. The record is from RNAcentral.
GAAAACCCUUGAUCUCACCUAUUCCGAUUCCUUACAGAAAUCACCGGACUUUUCACAAGUCCCAAAUCUUGAAGAGUUGAUAUUGGUAUGGUGUAAGAGUUUGUCCGAGAUUCACCCCUCCAUUGGUCAUCUUGAAAGACUGACUUUGGUGAACCUUACAAGAUGUUGCAAGCUUAUUUCUCUUCCAAGGGAUUUCUAUAAGUCAAAAUCUGUUGAGACUCUUCUUCUUAAUGGAUGUUCAAAAUUCAUAGAACUGCAUGAGGAUAUAGGGCAGAUGAUAUCACUGAGAACACUUGAAGCAUAUAAAACAGCCAUAAGAGAAGUACCACCUUCCAUAGUAAGAAUGAAGAAUCUCACUCGUUUAUCCCUUGAUAAGUACUGCAUCAGCGUAGAGCUCAAAGGAGAAUACAAAUAUAUAGGUUGGGACCUAUGCCCUUUAAAGUCCAUACCAGAUGACUUUUUUAAUCAAGAUAAACUAGUUGUUUUAGAGAUGAACUAUAGUAGACUGGUACAAGUUUGGGAGGGUUCCAAGGUACAAUGAAUUACACCUGAUGAUGUUCUGUUUCUAUUUGUUUUUUGGAUUUCUUCUCUCUUUUUUAUUUUUAUUUUUAUAACAGCUUCAUUUCGGAUAUUAAUUUCAAUUUUCUUUUGAUUUUCUGCAACAGUCGUUUCGUAACCUGAAAACCCUUGAUCUCAGCCAUUCCUAUUCCCUACAGAAAUCACCGGACUUUUCACAAGUCCCAAAUCUUGAAGAGUUGAUAUUGAAAUGGUGUAAGAGUUUGUCCGAGAUUCACCACUCCAUUGGUCAUCUUGAAAGACUUUCUUUGGUGAACCUUACAAGAUGUUGCAAGCUUAUUUCUCUUCCAAGGGAUUUCUAUAAGUCAAAAUCUGUUGAGACUCUUCUUCUUAAUGAUUGUUAUGAAUUCAGAGAACUGCAUGAGGAUAUAGGGGAGAUGUUAUCACUGAGAACACUUGAAGCAGAGAAAACAGCCAUAAGAGAAGUACCACCUUCCAUAGUAGGAUUGAAGAAUCUCACUCGUUUAUCCCUUGACCGCAUCAGCGUAGAGCUCAAUGGAGAAUACAAAUAUCUUCCCAAAGAGCUAAUAACGUUGUGGUGGGAAGGAUGCCCUUUAAAGUCCAUACCAGAUGACUUUUUUAAUCAAGAUAAACUAGUUGUUUUAGGGAUGCAGUUUAGCGAACUGGUACAAGUUUGGAAGGGUUCCAAGGUACAAUGAAUACACCUGAUGAUGUUAUGUUUCUGUUUGUUUUUUGGAUUUCCUUUUAUUUUUUAUUAAUGACAUCUUCAUUUCGGAUAUUAAUUUCAAUUUUCUUUUGAUUUUCUGCAACAGUCGCUACAUAACUUGAAAACCCUUGAUCUCACCUAUUCCCGUUCCUUAGAGAAAUCACCGGACUUUUCACAAGUCCCAAAUCUUGAAGAGUUGAUAUUGGAAGAGUGUAUUAGUCUGUCCGAGAUUCACCCCUCCAUUGGUCAUCUUAAAAGACUUUCUUUGGUGAACCUUAGUCGAUGUAAUGAGCUUAUUUCUCUUCCAAAGGAUUUCUAUAAAUUGAAAUCUGUUGAGACUCUUCUUCUUAAUGGAUGUUCAAAAUUCAUAGAACUGCAUGAGGAUAUAGGGCAGAUGAUAUCACUGAGAACACUUGCAGCAUAUAAAACAGUCAUAAGAGAAGUACCACCUUCCAUAGUAAGAUUGAAGAAUCUCACUUGUUUGUCCCUAUCAGGUGUGGGAAGUAUUCAUUUGCCACAUUCGUUACACGGCUUAAACUCUUUAAGGGAAUUAGACAUCUCAUGUUGCGGAUUAGCCGAUAAUGAAAUCCCUGGGGAUCUUGGGAGUCUAAUUUCUUUACAAGUUUUGGAUCUUUCACGGAAUAAUUUUCACAUCCUACCCAACCUCAGUGGCGUAGAGCUCAAUGGAGUAUACAAACAUCUUCCUAAAGAGUUAAUAUGGUUGCAUUGGGAAGAAUUCCCUUUAAAGUCCAUACCAGAUGACAUUUUUAAUCAAGAUAAACUAGUUGUUUUAGACAUGCAGGGUAGCAAACUGGUACAAGCUAGGGAUGGUUCCAAGGUACAAUGAAUUACACAUGAUGAUGUUCUGUUUCUAUAUGUUUUUUGGAUUUCUUCUCUUUUAUUUUAUUUUUUAUAACAUCUUCAUUUCGGAUAUUAAUUUCAAUUUUCUUUUGAUUUUCUGCAACAGUCACUAUAUAACUUGAAAACCCUUGAUCUCAGCUGUUCCGAUUCCUUACAGAAAUCACCGGACUUUUCACAAAUCCCAAAUCUUGAAGAGUUGAUAUUGGAAGGGUGUUCUAGUUUGUCCGAGAUUCACCCCUCCAUUGGUCAUCUUAAAAAACUUUCUUUGGUGAACCUUACCCAAUGUUGGGAACUUAUUUCUCUUCCAAGGGAUUUCUAUAAAUUGAAAUCUGUUAAGACUCUUCUUCUUAAUGGAUGUUCAAAAUUCAUAGAACUGCAUGAGGAUAUAGGGGAGAUGAUAUCACUGAGAACACUUGAAGCAGAGCGAACAUCCAUAAGAGAAGUACCACCUUCCAUAGUAAGAUUGAAGAAUCUCACUGGUUUAUCCCUUGAUAAGUACCGCAUCAGUGUAAAGCUCAAAGGAGAAUACAAAUAUCUGUGUUGGGACCUAUGCCCUUUAAAGUCCAUACCAGAUGACUUUUUUAAUCAAGAUAAACUAGUUGUUUUACAGAUGCAGUAUAGCAAACUGGUACAAGUUUGGGAGGGUUCCAAGGUACAAUGAAUUACACGUGAUGAUGUUCUGUUUCUCUUUCUUUUUUUUAUAACAGCUUCAUUUCGGAUAUUAAUUUCAAUUUUCUUUUGAUUUUCUGCAACAGUCACUAUAUAACUUGAAAACCCUGGAUCUCAGCUGUUCCGAUUCCUUACAGAAAUCACCGGACUUUUCACAAGUCCCAAAUCUUGAAGAGUUGAUAUUGGAAGGGUGUUCUAGUUUGUCCGAGAUUCACCCCUCCAUUGGUCAUCUUAAAAAACUUUCUUUGGUGAACCUUACCCAAUGUUGGGAACUUAUUUCUCUUCCAAGGGAUUUCUAUAAAUUGAAAUCUGUUGAGACUCUUCUUCUUAAUGGAUGUUCAAAAUUCAUAGAACUGCAUGAGGAUAUAGGGGAGAUGAUAUCACUGAGAACACUUGAAGCAGAGCGAACAUCCAUAAGAGAAGUACCACCUUCCAUAGUAAGAUUGAAGAAUCUCACUGGUUUAUCCCUUGAUAAGUACGGCAUCAGUGUAAAGCUCAAAGGAGAAUACAAAUAUCUGUGUUGGGACCUAUGCCCUUUAAAGUCCAUACCAGAUGACUUUUUUAAUCAAGAUAAACUAGUUGUUUUACAGAUGCAGUAUAGCAAACUGGUACAAGUUUGGGAGGGUUCCAAGGUACAAUGAAUUACACGUGAUGAUGUUCUGUUUCUAUUUGUUUUUUGGAUUUCUUCUCUUUCUUUUUUUUAUAACAUCUUCAUUUCGGAUAUUAAUUUUAAUUUAUUUUGAUUUUCUGCAACAGUCGCUUCGUUACUUGAAAACCCUUGAUCUCAGCUAUUCCUGGUCCUUACAGAAAUCACCGGACUUUUCACAAGUCCCAAAUCUUGAAGAGUUGAUAUUGGAAGAUUGUUAUAGUUUGUCUGAGAUUCACCCCUCCAUUGGUCAUCUUAAAGGACUUUCUUUGGUGAACCUUAGAGACUGUCGUAAGCUUAUUUCUCUUCCAAGGGAUUUCUAUAAGUUGAAAUCUGUUGAGACUCUUCUUCUUAAUGGAUGUUGGAAAUUCAG